CUCCACCUCCACUCAUCCGGCAUCCUUUUAGUCCUGAAGAUCGCAUUGAACAACCUGGAGAGUCACUCCACUGCUGACCUACCAUCCAUUUCUAGAACUCCACCGGGAUCUCGUCAGGCCCGGCGCUCUACCCCUACUCAUCCUACGCAAAGCCCCCAUGGCCUCCUCUACCCUAAUGCGCCUGUAGUACCCAAGGUCUCUAUGUUGCUCUGAAUUCCCCAACUCCCCUAGCU
Molecule: long non-coding RNA, 233 nt
Filed under: Nicotiana benthamiana
Lineage: Eukaryota; Viridiplantae; Streptophyta; Magnoliopsida; Solanales; Solanaceae
Description: long non-coding RNA (NBEN_LNC000937)
Source: RNAcentral